Long non-coding RNA from Aedes aegypti (yellow fever mosquito), 1293 nucleotides. RefSeq lists it as uncharacterized. The record is from RefSeq and is a predicted model, not a curated record. Lineage: Eukaryota; Metazoa; Arthropoda; Insecta; Diptera; Culicidae. The transcript is spliced from 2 exons.
UUUCGAGUAAGGGAGAGUUAACUGUAAUUAAAAAAGUAUUAGAGUGGUUCUGCCUCAGUAGUUUUGAACUAGCGUGUAUGAAAUGGGUCUACCCCGUUUGGCAUAAUGCCGUAUGGCAUAAUGCCGUUUGGCAUAAUAGCCGUUUGGCAUAAUUGUGAAAAACAUGAAAUUUGAUCAAAUUUCUUCCAUCAAGCAUACUUCUCAUAUUCAAUUUUUAAAGGAAACCAAUAUAUAAUGAAGCUUUUUUUGGAAUUGCAUCAUACAUAACUUCCGGGGACAUUGUGUCCGGAAUAUUAUAGCACAUUUUUAAAAAAAUGUGUCCAUGGCCUAAGAUAUGCCAUGCUAUUUAAAAAAAGAAGGAACAUGAUAUUUUAUGACGCAUCUUAUGGUCCCGGAUAUUACUGUACCUUUGCAGUAUCUUCUUUUUCAGAUUAUGCCAAACGACUAUUAUGUCAAACAACUGUUAUGCCAAACGACUAUUAUGCCAAACGACUUUAUGCCAAACGACUGUAUGCCAAAUGGCAUUAUGCCAAAAGGGGUAGACCCGUAUGAAAUGUACAUCGAGCUGUCAAUGAACGAACGAUGAAACCGAUGAAACAUGUUGCGAUGGAUGAAAAAUUGGAACAUUUUUAGAACACAUAAUGCAUGUUUCUACCAGUAAUGCAAUUCUCGCAUAAUUUAGAACAACGCCUAAAAAGCCAUUGGUAACGUCAUGUGUAGCUCGUUGUUUUUGAGUAGGUACACUGAAAUGAUUCCACGAGUUUAUUGUAUCAGCAAUUUCAUAUGAGUUAAAAUAAUAGCCUUGAUUUAAUUUAAUUGAUUUCAAUUGAUCACUUAUAUGUGUCACAACAAAAACUAUUUGGAUUCAAUAGCCUUCAAAAAUACAUAUUAGUACCACCAGCUCAUGUUCAAGUUAUAUGCACAUGUUAUAACCGACUUAUGUCCCGUGCAUAUAAUUUCGGCUAACUUUUCUCGCUGUGAAAGCUAAAUGCGUGUAUGUCAUAUUGACAUUAUCAUUUCGAAAGAGCACAAAAAUCAACAAUGGCGGACGACCGUGAGCAGUUGUUGUAAGAAUCUGGACUCCGAAUAACAUUUUUCGAUCUUCUUGCUGAUUUUAAAAUUCGAAUUCGAUAAAUGUCCGUAAUUUCUGUCGAAGAACUAGAGGAAGCAUUACAGUUGACGACCUUGAUUGAAGAAAAAGGUACGAUUUCUAUGAAGAUAAUAACGAUUUGUGAUCGAACUAAAAAUGGUCAUUAUAAGUAAAUAAACAUGUAUUUUUGUUUUUAAAUCGUA